Molecule: ribosomal RNA, 2394 nt
Filed under: Escherichia coli
Lineage: Bacteria; Pseudomonadati; Pseudomonadota; Gammaproteobacteria; Enterobacterales; Enterobacteriaceae
Description: partial 23S ribosomal RNA
Rfam family: Bacterial large subunit ribosomal RNA
Source: RNAcentral
GGGACACGUGGUAUCCUGUCUGAAUAUGGGGGGACCAUCCUCCAAGGCUAAAUACUCCUGACUGACCGAUAGUGAACCAGUACCGUGAGGGAAAGGCGAAAAGAACCCCGGCGAGGGGAGUGAAAAAGAACCUGAAACCGUGUACGUACAAGCAGUGGGAGCACGCUUAGGCGUGUGACUGCGUACCUUUUGUAUAAUGGGUCAGCGACUUAUAUUCUGUAGCAAGGUUAACCGAAUAGGGGAGCCGAAGGGAAACCGAGUCUUAACUGGGCGUUAAGUUGCAGGGUAUAGACCCGAAACCCGGUGAUCUAGCCAUGGGCAGGUUGAAGGUUGGGUAACACUAACUGGAGGACCGAACCGACUAAUGUUGAAAAAUUAGCGGAUGACUUGUGGCUGGGGGUGAAAGGCCAAUCAAACCGGGAGAUAGCUGGUUCUCCCCGAAAGCUAUUUAGGUAGCGCCUCGUGAAUUCAUCUCCGGGGGUAGAGCACUGUUUCGGCAAGGGGGUCAUCCCGACUUACCAACCCGAUGCAAACUGCGAAUACCGGAGAAUGUUAUCACGGGAGACACACGGCGGGUGCUAACGUCCGUCGUGAAGAGGGAAACAACCCAGACCGCCAGCUAAGGUCCCAAAGUCAUGGUUAAGUGGGAAACGAUGUGGGAAGGCCCAGACAGCCAGGAUGUUGGCUUAGAAGCAGCCAUCAUUUAAAGAAAGCGUAAUAGCUCACUGGUCGAGUCGGCCUGCGCGGAAGAUGUAACGGGGCUAAACCAUGCACCGAAGCUGCGGCAGCGACGCUUAUGCGUUGUUGGGUAGGGGAGCGUUCUGUAAGCCUGUGAAGGUGUGCUGUGAGGCAUGCUGGAGGUAUCAGAAGUGCGAAUGCUGACAUAAGUAACGAUAAAGCGGGUGAAAAGCCCGCUCGCCGGAAGACCAAGGGUUCCUGUCCAACGUUAAUCGGGGCAGGGUGAGUCGACCCCUAAGGCGAGGCCGAAAGGCGUAGUCGAUGGGAAACAGGUUAAUAUUCCUGUACUUGGUGUUACUGCGAAGGGGGGACGGAGAAGGCUAUGUUGGCCGGGCGACGGUUGUCCCGGUUUAAGCGUGUAGGCUGGUUUUCCAGGCAAAUCCGGAAAAUCAAGGCUGAGGCGUGAUGACGAGGCACUACGGUGCUGAAGCAACAAAUGCCCUGCUUCCAGGAAAAGCCUCUAAGCAUCAGGUAACAUCAAAUCGUACCCCAAACCGACACAGGUGGUCAGGUAGAGAAUACCAAGGCGCUUGAGAGAACUCGGGUGAAGGAACUAGGCAAAAUGGUGCCGUAACUUCGGGAGAAGGCACGCUGAUAUGUAGGUGAAGUCCCUCGCGGAUGGAGCUGAAAUCAGUCGAAGAUACCAGCUGGCUGCAACUGUUUAUUAAAAACACAGCACUGUGCAAACACGAAAGUGGACGUAUACGGUGUGACGCCUGCCCGGUGCCGGAAGGUUAAUUGAUGGGGUCAGCGCAAGCGAAGCUCUUGAUCGAAGCCCCGGUAAACGGCGGCCGUAACUAUAACGGUCCUAAGGUAGCGAAAUUCCUUGUCGGGUAAGUUCCGACCUGCACGAAUGGCGUAAUGAUGGCCAGGCUGUCUCCACCCGAGACUCAGUGAAAUUGAACUCGCUGUGAAGAUGCAGUGUACCCGCGGCAAGACGGAAAGACCCCGUGAACCUUUACUAUAGCUUGACACUGAACAUUGAGCCUUGAUGUGUAGGAUAGGUGGGAGGCUUAGAAGUGUGGACGCCAGUCUGCAUGGAGCCGACCUUGAAAUACCACCCUUUAAUGUUUGAUGUUCUAACGUUGACCCGUAAUCCGGGUUGCGGACAGUGUCUGGUGGGUAGUUUGACUGGGGCGGUCUCCUCCUAAAGAGUAACGGAGGAGCACGAAGGUUGGCUAAUCCUGGUCGGACAUCAGGAGGUUAGUGCAAUGGCAUAAGCCAGCUUGACUGCGAGCGUGACGGCGCGAGCAGGUGCGAAAGCAGGUCAUAGUGAUCCGGUGGUUCUGAAUGGAAGGGCCAUCGCUCAACGGAUAAAAGGUACUCCGGGGAUAACAGGCUGAUACCGCCCAAGAGUUCAUAUCGACGGCGGUGUUUGGCACCUCGAUGUCGGCUCAUCACAUCCUGGGGCUGAAGUAGGUCCCAAGGGUAUGGCUGUUCGCCAUUUAAAGUGGUACGCGAGCUGGGUUUAGAACGUCGUGAGACAGUUCGGUCCCUAUCUGCCGUGGGCGCUGGAGAACUGAGGGGGGCUGCUCCUAGUACGAGAGGACCGGAGUGGACGCAUCACUGGUGUUCGGGUUGUCAUGCCAAUGGCACUGCCCGGUAGCUAAAUGCGGAAGAGAUAAGUGCUGAAAGCAUCUAAGCACGAAACUUGCC